Rosa rugosa (rugosa rose) is the source of this 562-nucleotide long non-coding RNA. RefSeq lists it as uncharacterized. The transcript has 3 exons. The record is from RefSeq and is a predicted model, not a curated record. Lineage: Eukaryota; Viridiplantae; Streptophyta; Magnoliopsida; Rosales; Rosaceae.
GGUUGAUAAGGUGAGCAAUCCUGACAGCAUCAGAAUAUAUAGAAGCAGAAAAGAGAUGAUGUUGUAUUGUUGUUUGCAUAUCAGCUCUGAGUGGCUAGGGCUUAAAUGAUUGCUGCAGUGCAAUCCAGGCAAAAUUGAAGUACGCUAAUGGUACCGGUGGAAGCCUUGAUCCUAUUUGAAAAAGGAGAGCUUCACAAAGCACAUUAUGAAACUGUUUUACAUCGGAUCGUCCAAGGUGUCAUCGACAAAAAAAAAAAAAAAAUAGAACCAGGACUCUAUUAGCAAGCAGCUGUUCAAAUCAACCCCUAACAAAAAUCCAAUGAGUGUGAUUGUGGAAUCCUUGAAGCCCUGAAGGUGCUUAGCUUGCAAGGAUUUGCCUCAAUUUUGGAGCCUAACCUCUGUAGAAUCAUGAGUCAAAUUUUGACUAUUUACUGAUUAUAGUUGAAUUUUGGUCGAGACUAGAUGCCGUUAGAUGAAUCUCUUCAAUAUGUUUAUCAAUUCAGUGAAGCAUUAUGUUGCUUUUAAUAGUUCUGUUAUUCAAAUUCUCAUGUCAUUCAUUCAU